Non-coding RNA from Elephantulus edwardii (Cape elephant shrew), 522 nucleotides. The record is from the annotation of a RefSeq genome assembly. Lineage: Eukaryota; Metazoa; Chordata; Mammalia; Macroscelidea; Macroscelididae.
AUGUUGCAUUCCAGCUUGCUUGAGGUGGUCAUGGCUUUAAUGUACCCAGCAUUCAGUAUUUCCCAGAAGGUAACUCAAGAUCAACAGGUAAUGAGGGCGCAGGAAAAAGAAACUGUGACUCUGCCCUGCACAUAUGAUACCAAUGAACGAAAUUUUGGUCUAUUUUGGUACAAGCAGCCCAGCAACGGACAGAUGAUUUUCCUUAUUCGUCAGGAAUCUUACAACCAGCAAAAUGCAACAGAAGGUCGCUACUCCUUGAACUUCCAAAAAGAAGCUAAAUCCAUCAAUCUUGUCGUCUCAGCUUUACGGCUGGAGGACUCAGCAGUGUAUUUAUGUGCACUGAGAGAAGCCACAGUGAGAGAAAAGUUGGAGGAAGAUGCACGGAAACUUAGGGCUCUGCUUAAGAAACCCACCUGCAGGGACCUCUCGGGGAAUCAUCAGCACAGACAGGAAAUGGGGAGGACUGUGGUUACACAGGUGUGUAGGAUUGAAGGGAAGCUCUUCAUUCUAAGAAGCAUCUGA